GACGACGCUGGCGGCGUGGAUUAGGCAUGCAAGUCGGAACGGUAUCAUCCGUUCGGGGGUGAGAGAGUGGCGAACUGGUGAGUAACACGUAGGUUAUCUACCUCAAGACGGGGACAACCCAGGGAAACUUGGGCUAAUACCGGAUGUGAGCAACUUUAGUUGUUUGAAAGGUGGCGUAAGCUGUCGCUUGGGGAUGAGCCUGCGUCCUAUUAGUUAGUUGGUGAGGUAACGGCUCACCUAGGCAAUGAUAGGUAGGCGGCCUUAACGGGUGGUCGCCCACACUGGGAUUGAGAUACGGCCCAGACUCCUACGGGAGGCAGCAGUCGAGAAUAGUCUACAAUGGUCGGAAGACUGAUAGUGCGACGCCGCGUGAACGAUGAAUCCCUUCGGGGUGUAAAGUUCUUUUAUAUGUGAGCAGUGCUUCUUAUAUUAACAGUAUGGGGAGAGAGAUAUUAGCAUAUGAAUAAGCAACGGCUAACUCCGUG
Molecule: ribosomal RNA, 485 nt
Filed under: uncultured bacterium
Lineage: Bacteria
Description: bacterial SSU rRNA
Rfam family: Bacterial small subunit ribosomal RNA
Source: RNAcentral